Molecule: ribosomal RNA, 288 nt
Filed under: uncultured bacterium
Lineage: Bacteria
Description: partial 16S ribosomal RNA
Rfam family: Bacterial small subunit ribosomal RNA
Source: RNAcentral
GAUGAACGCUGGCGGCAUGCCUAACACAUGCAAGUCGAACGAUAAGCCGCCUUCGGGUGGUGGACAGUGGCGCACGGGUGAGUAACACGUGGGGACCUGCCUGAUAGUAAGGGACAACAGUUUGAAAAGACUGCUAAUACCUUAUACGCCCUUUUGGGGAAAGAUUUAUCGCUAUCAGAUGGACCCGCGCUAGAUUAGAUAGUUGGUGAGGUAAUGGCUCACCAAGUCUACGAUCUAUAGCUGGUUUGAGAAGAUGAUCAGCCACAUUGGGACUGAGACACGGCCCAG